Molecule: ribosomal RNA, 254 nt
Filed under: uncultured bacterium
Lineage: Bacteria
Description: partial 16S ribosomal RNA
Rfam family: Bacterial small subunit ribosomal RNA
Source: RNAcentral
UACGGGGGGAGCAAGCGUUGUUCGGAUUUACUGGGCGUAAAGGGCGGGUAGGCGGCCACCGCAAGUCAGUUGUGAAAUCUCUGGGCUUAACCCAGAAAGGUCAACUGAUACUGUGCGACUAGAGUGCGGAAGGGGCAACUGGAAUUCUCGGUGUAGCGGUGAAAUGCGUAGAUAUCGAGAGGAACACCUGCGGCGAAGGCGGGUUGCUGGGCCGACACUGACGCUGAUGCGCGAAAGCCAGGGGAGCGAACGGG